AGCAGCCGCGGUAAUUCCAGCUCCAAUAGCGUAUAUUAAAGUUGUUGCAGUUAAAAAGCUUGUAGUUGAAUUUCGGGGUCAGUAGGCUGGUCGUGCCACAGGUACGUACUGGUCUCACUGAUUCCUCCUUCCUGAUGAACCGUAAUGCCAUUAAUUUGGUGUUGCGGGGAAACUGGACUGUUACUUUGAAAAAAUUAGAGUGUUUAAAGCAGGCUAACGCUUGAAUACAUUAGCAUGGAAUAAUGAAAUAGGACGUUCGAUCCUAUUUUGUUGGUUUCUAGGAUUGACGUAAUGAUUAAUAGGGAUAGUUGGGGGCAUUAGUAUUCAAUUGUCAGAGGUGAAAUUCUUGGAUUUAUUGAAGACUAACUACUGCGAAAGCAUUUGCCAAGGAUGUUUUCAUUAAUCAAGAACGAAAGUUAGGGGAUCGAAGACGAUCAGAUACCGUCGUAGUCUUAACCAUAAACUAUGCCGACUAGGGAUCGGAUGAUGUUAAUUUUUAAUGACUCAUUCGGCGCCUUAC
This 520-nucleotide ribosomal RNA is filed under the name uncultured Glomus. RNAcentral describes it as "SSU rRNA". It matches the Rfam family "Eukaryotic small subunit ribosomal RNA", at positions 569 to 1091 of the family's 1831-position model. The record is from RNAcentral. Lineage: Eukaryota; Fungi; Glomeromycota; Glomeromycetes; Glomerales; Glomeraceae.